This 1024-nucleotide long non-coding RNA is filed under the name Sarcophilus harrisii (Tasmanian devil). RNAcentral describes it as "lncRNA (ENSSHAG00000028801.1)". The record is from RNAcentral. Lineage: Eukaryota; Metazoa; Chordata; Mammalia; Dasyuromorphia; Dasyuridae.
CUGCCUUUGCUAGCGUGGGGAGCGCUGGCCUGCAGGGGGCAUCCUCCAGCACGCGGAGGUCCCUGCAAUGCGGGGCCACGGGCAGCUCCUCCGGGCUGGGACAUGUCUGAGGUCAAGGUCAGGAGCAGAGGUCAGGGGGCGGGGUCAAGUCCAGUAGCUCCCCUUCUCCCCCUAUCGCUUCUUGGAGGAAACCGCACAAAGGAGGCCGAGCCUACGCCUAAGGGGUGCGUGUGCGUGUGCCCACGUGCGCACGCAUGCAAGGCAGAAGCACAGACGGGGACCCCCGGGGGCAGAGGGACACGCACGAUCACCCAGACACACGGACACGUGGGCUCGGACACGCGACAAAGCUGAGACGUGCAGGGAUGGACCGAAUGGCCUCUGGCCCCUCUGCGUUUGAGAUCCAGGAGCCCUUUCCUGGGGUUUUAGUGUCUGAGCCUAGAAAAAGUGUCGGGUGUGGCAUCAGAGGCCUUGGACUGGAACCCAGCCCUGCCACUCUCCUUGCCUGGGUCUCAGUUUCCACUCUCCCAGGAGCACGUGGAGCUGCACGAAUCCAGGAACCAGGUCGGGUGCUUUUUCUGAGAGGGCCUUGAGCCCGACCAUAAGGGUAAGGGUGGUCUCAGGGAGCCGGAGCUGAGGGGGACCAGCUCCAUGAGGCCGAAUGGAGAUUUCUGGACUCCAGGAACUACGGCCCUCCCCAUCCUCUGGUCUGAAAGGUCCUGUGCCCUGUGAUGUGUCUCUGAGAGAGACCGGGCCGUCCCUGGGCCCCCUGGGCGAAGGGCUGGGAGAAUCACAGGGGCAGACACGGAAAGGACCGUGGUGAUCUUGGAGUUGACCUCAGGUUUCCAGAGCUGAAGUGACUUGCUUAAGGGUCGCCCACAAGUUCUAGUUCCACAGAGGUCAGAGCCAGUGCUCCCUGCCCCAUGCUGCUUGUCCACUUUGUGGACGACCCCCAGUGGAGAGCUACUGCUGAGCUUACCGAGGCACUGGUGAUAUUAUUAUUAUUAUUAUUUUUUGGCUGGGG